AAAGCUAUAGCUCAGUGGCAGAGUGUCUGCUUUGCAUGCAAGAGGUCCUGUGUUCAAUCCCCAUUCAUUUUA
Non-coding RNA from Phrynosoma platyrhinos (Desert horned lizard), 72 nucleotides. NCBI's taxonomy places the organism in Eukaryota, Metazoa, Chordata, Lepidosauria, Squamata, Phrynosomatidae. The record is from the annotation of a GenBank genome assembly.